Portunus trituberculatus (swimming crab) is the source of this 1221-nucleotide long non-coding RNA. RefSeq lists it as uncharacterized. The transcript has 2 exons. The record is from RefSeq and is a predicted model, not a curated record. NCBI's taxonomy places the organism in Eukaryota, Metazoa, Arthropoda, Malacostraca, Decapoda, Portunidae.
UCCACAAAUGUUCAAAAACUGUCGAUGUCAACACUUCAAGCUAUAAUAAUGGCGGGUGUUUCUCAAAUGUCUCAUACGCAAAAUGUCGACAUCAUUGUAUACACUUCCUCUAUCACUCAAAGUUCUUAUAAAAUGCAAAAUAACAUUAAACUAAAAUAAAACUAAUAUGAAAUGGUAAAGGAAAAUGAAAAUAACACGAGUAUUAUAUUCCCAAUGCCGAAAUGGCGGUUUUGGGGUUACUCAUAAAUUUUGCUAAAAUCACAUUUCGCCUUAAGGAUUGAAAUAUUUCUACUUAAUUAGUGAAGUUGGCAUUUUUCUGAUAUCUGAUUUGUUAUUAGUAAAGUAAACUUAUUUCUAAACUACAAUAGAAUCGAGUCCAGCUGUGUUUUGGUUUACCGAAAAAAUAACACUAAAAUCACUGCAAGGAAUAUAACCUUUUUUUAUUAUCACGCCUAGGAUUUUUUGGUGCUUGAUAUAACACUUAAAAUGUAUGAAAAACAUGAUUCAAGUAACAACAUUCCAUAAAGUUUAGUUUACCUAUUCGUAUUUUCAAAUUCAAAAUUUUUAAUGGUAACAAAAUGGAAAACAAAAAUCUUUAUACGACAAAGAAUCUGUGUUUUCUUUAUUUGGUUGGAAAGCGAAAAUUUUUGUUAUUCAGAAAAUGUAAUAUAACGUAGUUUGGGUGAGCUUUUCAUCUCGACAUUGUGAUGUGUUUGUGACCCGUUAAUUGGACACAAACACCUUCCGUUUCAUCGCUUUUCUAAAAUAAACCACCCGUUAGGGAUAUUAUAUUUUUAUUAUUAGUUACACUAUUUAUCGCGUCUAAAAGUGUAGUGUAUACCAGUCUGGGAGCCGUUUUUCUUGUGGCCAUUUUUAAAAUGAAUGAUCUUCGUAAGUAUUGAACCCACGGGGGGCGCAUCACCCCUGACUUUCCCCCAGGUCAGUCCAGCAAUGUCUGCCUCCACCCUCCCCUGUGUUUCCAGACCCAGAGAGUGAAGCAAAGCCAGAAUCAACCACCACACUUGACAAAUAGCCAUUACUGUGAUGAUGGAAUGUUGUCAGCGAGCAGCACAGAAGACGCAGAGAUAUUGGUGGACAGGUGGUGGAGAUAGGAAGAGAAUGUGGCCUGGAGAUUAACAAACAGAACACCAAUAAUCUUGUGACCUCCAUACACCCUUCCUAAUGUCAAUAAAGUUGUCUUAUAAUGGCCUCAAAAAAUGC